This 414-nucleotide RNase P RNA is filed under the name Cyclobacteriaceae bacterium. RNAcentral describes it as "RNase P RNA component class A". It matches the Rfam family "Bacterial RNase P class A". From Rfam's summary of the family: Ribonuclease P (RNase P) is a ubiquitous endoribonuclease, found in archaea, bacteria and eukarya as well as chloroplasts and mitochondria. Its best characterised activity is the generation of mature 5'-ends of tRNAs by cleaving the 5'-leader elements of precursor-tRNAs. The record is from RNAcentral. Lineage: Bacteria; Pseudomonadati; Bacteroidota; Cytophagia; Cytophagales; Cyclobacteriaceae.
ACUGCAAACCGCCUUAUCGUGCCCCGAUUUAUCGGGGUAAGGAAAGUCCGGGCAACUUCAGGAGUCGCACCUUGAGAAGAUCAGGGGGUUCCGUUUUCAACAACGGAAAACAGAAAGUGCCACAGAAAACAGGUAGCCGAACCAAUUCCGUUAGGCAUUGGUGGUGAUAGUGAAAAGGUGGGGUAAGAGCCUACCGGUUCGAAAGUAAUUUCGGACGCACGGUAAACCUUGCGAGUUGAAAGAUCAAAUAGGCCCCGAUGAAUGCCUGAUUCAGUUCCGACUUGUUCGGGACAUCGGGGUGGGUAGAUCGAUUGAUCCUGACGGUACCGUCAGGACCAGAUAAAUGAUAAGGAUCCUGUCCCGGUAGCUAUCGGGAUCAGGAUACAGAACCCGGCUUACAGGUUUGCAAUUUUU